GUCUACGGCCAUACCACCCUGAACACGCCGAUUUCAUCUGAUCUCGGAAGCUAAGCAGCGUUGGGCCUGGUUAGUACUUGGGUGGGAGACUGCCUGGGAAUACCAGAAGCUGUAGGCA
Molecule: ribosomal RNA, 118 nt
Filed under: Cebus imitator (Panamanian white-faced capuchin)
Lineage: Eukaryota; Metazoa; Chordata; Mammalia; Primates; Cebidae
Source: RNAcentral